Molecule: non-coding RNA, 424 nt
Organism: Microcebus murinus (gray mouse lemur)
Lineage: Eukaryota; Metazoa; Chordata; Mammalia; Primates; Cheirogaleidae
Source: RefSeq, a predicted model, not a curated record
UUAGGGAAUUCGAGUACCCUUGGAAGAUUUUGAGCAACGGGUGACAUUGUCCUGCUAAAACAAGAUCACUGAGGCUCCUGUGUUGAGAAUUGACAUUUUGUGAGCAAAAAUUUGGAAGCGAUGGAGGAAAUACAAGCAAGAAACCUCAAGACCUGGAAGGUUGCAUCGGCAAUAUCUACCAAACAUUUAAAAAGAAACAUUACCAAUUCUACAAAUUACUUCCAGCAAACAGAAGAGAAGGAUCCCAUGGAAGAUACUUUGGUACAUUUAUCCACCAUGUCUUCUUAGGCGCCUCUAGAUUAUGCCAGUUUCUCAGACUUGUUUUUGGUGAUCUCAACAUGCUUUUAAUUUAUCUUCUGCUUUUCUUUAACUUUGUUAAAAACUUUCAUGUAUUAAUGAAAUAGUGUAAUGAUACUAUUUUUAU